RNAcentral lists this ribosomal RNA (253 nucleotides) under uncultured bacterium. RNAcentral describes it as "partial 16S ribosomal RNA". It matches the Rfam family "Bacterial small subunit ribosomal RNA", at positions 524 to 776 of the family's 1533-position model. The record is from RNAcentral.
UACGGAGGAUGCAAGCGUAAUCCGGAAUUAUUGGGCGUAAAGCGUCCGUAGGUGGUUGAGUAAGUCUGCUGUUAAAGCGUGGAGCUGAACUCCAUAUCGGCAGUGGAAACUACUUGACUUGAGUGCGGUAGGGGUCAGGGGAAUUCCCAGUGUAGCGGUGAAAUGCGUAGAUAUUGGGAAGAACACCGGUGGCGAAAGCGCCUGAUUGGGCCUGCACUGACACUGAGGGACGAAAGCUAGGGGAGCGAAAGGG